UGCGUAGGUGGCGUGGUAAGUCGGGUGUGAAAUUUCGGAGCUUAACUCCGAAACUGCAUUCGAUACUGCCGUGCUUGAGGACUGGAGAGGAGACUGGAAUUUACGGUGUAGCAGUGAAAUGCGUAGAGAUCGUAAGGAAGACCAGUGGCGAAGGCGGGUCUCUGGACAGUUCCUGACACUGAGGCACGAAGGCCAGGGAGGCAAACG
Molecule: ribosomal RNA, 207 nt
Filed under: uncultured bacterium
Lineage: Bacteria
Description: partial 16S ribosomal RNA
Rfam family: Bacterial small subunit ribosomal RNA
Source: RNAcentral